RNAcentral lists this ribosomal RNA (468 nucleotides) under uncultured bacterium. RNAcentral describes it as "partial 16S ribosomal RNA". It matches the Rfam family "Bacterial small subunit ribosomal RNA", at positions 28 to 507 of the family's 1533-position model. The record is from RNAcentral.
GAUGAACGCUGGCGGCGUGCUUAACACAUGCAAGUCGAACGGAAAGGCCCAAGCUUGCUUGGGUACUCGAGUGGCGAACGGGUGAGUAACACGUGGGUGAGCUGCCCUGCACUUCGGGAUAAGCCUGGGAAGCUGGGUCUAAUACCGGAUAGGACGAUGGUUUGGAUGCCAUUGUGGAAAGGUUUUUCGGUGUGGGAUGAGCUCGCGGCCUAUCAGCUUGUUGGUGGGGUAAUGGCCUACCAAGGCGUCGACGGAUAGCCGGCCUGAGCUGGUGUACGGCGACCGUGCGAAUGAGAAACGGGACAGAGUCCUAAGGCCUGCAGGAGUGAGGAAUAGUGAAUAAUGGGCGAAAGGCGGAAGCAGCGACGAGGCGUGGGGGAUGAGGGCCUUCGGCUUGUAAGCUCUUUUCGCCAGGGACGAAGCGUUUUUGUGACGGUACCUGGAGAAGAAGCACCGGCUAACUACGUG